AAUGAACGCUGGCGGCAUGCCUAACACAUGCCAGUCGAACGAAGGCUUCGGCCUUAGUGGCGCACGGGUGCGUAACGCGUGGGAAUCUGCCCCUUGGUUCGGAAUAACAGUUAGAAAUGACUGCUAAUACCGGAUGAUGACGUAAGUCCAAAGAUUUAUCGCCGAGGGAUGAGCCCGCGUAGGAUUAGCUAGUUGGUGUGGUAAGAGCGCACCAAGGCGACGAUCCUUAGCUGGUCUGAGAGGAUGAUCAGCCACACUGGGACUGAGACACGGCCCAGACUCCUACGGGAGGCAGCAGUGGGGAAUAUUGGACAAUGGGCGAAAGCCUGAUCCAGCAAUGCCGCGUGAGUGAUGAAGGCCUUAGGGUUGUAAAGCUCUUUUACCCGGGAUGAUAAUGACAGUACCGGGAGAAUAAGCUCCGGCUAACUCCGUG
This 433-nucleotide ribosomal RNA is filed under the name uncultured bacterium. Its description in RNAcentral is "partial 16S ribosomal RNA". It matches the Rfam family "Bacterial small subunit ribosomal RNA", at positions 29 to 507 of the family's 1533-position model. The record is from RNAcentral.